Molecule: non-coding RNA, 96 nt
Organism: Mycena sp. CBHHK59/15
Lineage: Eukaryota; Fungi; Basidiomycota; Agaricomycetes; Agaricales; Mycenaceae
Source: the annotation of a GenBank genome assembly
GACACUUUGGCCGAGUGGUUAAGGCGAUCGCCUGCUAUUUAUAGCAAUUUAAGCGGUUGGGGUUUCCCCGCGAGUGUUCGAAUCGCUCAGGUGUCG